This 77-nucleotide transfer RNA is filed under the name Dehalococcoidia bacterium. RNAcentral describes it as "tRNA-Asp". It matches the Rfam family "tRNA". From Rfam's summary of the family: Transfer RNA (tRNA) molecules are approximately 80 nucleotides in length. Their secondary structure includes four short double-helical elements and three loops (D, anti-codon, and T loops). The record is from RNAcentral. Lineage: Bacteria; Bacillati; Chloroflexota; Dehalococcoidia.
GGACCCGUAGUGUAGCGGCCAAUCACACUGCCCUGUCAAGGCAGAGAUCGCCAGUUCGAAUCUGGUCGGGUCCGCCA